GUGGGGAAUCUUGCGCAAUGGGCGAAAGCCUGACGCAGCCAUGCCGCGUGAAUGAUGAAGGUCUUAGGAUUGUAAAAUUCUUUCACCGGGGACGAUAAUGACGGUACCCGGAGAAGAAGCCCCGGCUAACUUCGUGCCAGCAGCCGCGGUAAUACGAAGGGGGCUAGCGUUGCUCGGAAUUACUGGGCGUAAAGGGCGCGUAGGCGGACAGUUUAGUCAGAGGUGAAAGCCCAGGGCUCAACCUUGGAAUUGCCUUUGAUACUGGCUGUCUUGAGUACGGGAGAGGUGAGUGGAACUCCGAGUGUAGAGGUGAAAUUCGUAGAUAUUCGCAAGAACACCAGUGGCGAAGGCGGCUUACUGGUCCGGUUCUGACGCUGAGGCGCGAAAGCGUGGGGAGCAAACAGGAUUAGAAACCCGUGUAGUCC
This 425-nucleotide ribosomal RNA is filed under the name uncultured bacterium. RNAcentral describes it as "partial 16S ribosomal RNA". It matches the Rfam family "Bacterial small subunit ribosomal RNA", at positions 354 to 796 of the family's 1533-position model. The record is from RNAcentral.